CGGUUACUCCCUGAAGUAGACGCCGCCCUUACGAAUCCUUUCUGCUGCUGCCUUCCGACCGCCGCUGGUGGCCUACUGCCGUCACUGAAAGUCGAUCACUCCAUUCUGUUCCUAGAAUUCACAGAGGCGUUUUGCGUUUGCCAUCUUCCUCCCUUGCUCGAAUUGCGGAUUCACCAUCUCCUUCUCUAAAAUCUCCCUCCCUUUGCAAUCAGAAAAUUUAUUCAAGCAAUAUGGCCUCAUCCUUGGAGAUUACAGCUGCAGAGUUCUUACAGG
Molecule: long non-coding RNA, 273 nt
Organism: Cynara cardunculus var. scolymus (artichoke)
Lineage: Eukaryota; Viridiplantae; Streptophyta; Magnoliopsida; Asterales; Asteraceae
Exons: 3
Source: RefSeq, a predicted model, not a curated record